This 8165-nucleotide small RNA is filed under the name Mytilus galloprovincialis (Mediterranean mussel). Lineage: Eukaryota; Metazoa; Mollusca; Bivalvia; Mytilida; Mytilidae. The record is from RNAcentral.
AUGAUUGACAAUAGUGGUCAACAAGAAAUACGAUUCAUUUUAGGAAAAGCUAAAGUAGCCCCAAAACAUGGACACACAAUUCCGCGGCUCGAAUUGUGUGCUGCUGUUCUAGGUGUAGAAAUCUUUGAAACAGUUCAGGAAGAACUUGACACAGACUUUAAAAACGUUACGUUCUUUACAGACAGUAAGGUAACGUUGGGAUAUAUCUACAAUGAAAUCAAGCGAUUCUUUGUGUACGUUAGAAAUGGCGUAGACCGUAUUAGAAAGUCAACAUCUUGCACACAAUGGAAAUAUGUGCCAACUAAUCAAAAUCCAGCUGACGAUGCUACUCGCAAUUCUAUCUCUGCCGUAGAUCUCCCAAAUAGUCUUUGGUUGAAAGGCCCAAAUGCUUCAUUUAUAGAUCACAUCGAUGAGGUUCCGUCAUCAUUUCCACUAGUUACACCGGAUGAAGACUGUGAAGUACGAAUUUUGAAAACAACUGUUGGCAAGGAGGUUCCUUUCGGAAUUCAUAGAUUUGAAAAUUUCUCCACAUGGAUCAGUCUUGUACGAGCCGUCACCACGUUGAAAACUAAGUUAAGAACUAUCUGUUUCAGUCAAGACAAGAAUAGAAGGCAAGUUACUCGUGAGGAGAGUCAACAUUUCAUUCUUCAAGCCGUUCAGAAGGAAUUCUUUUCUGAUGAAAUUUCAGCUUUGUCAUUUGGGGAACCAUUGCAUAAAGACAGUAAAAUCUUGAAUCUCUCGCCUUACUUGGAUGAGUUUGGACUUUUGCGGGUUGGAGGGAGAUUGGGAAAUGCGGACCUUUCGAUAUCUGAAGCGAAUCCUAUUAUUGUUCCCAAAGGUCACAUUGCCGUUUUGCUGGUAGGACAUUUUCAUGAACGAAUCUUUCACCAGGGGCGACAAUUCACUGAAUAUGAGAUUCGAAAGGCGGGUUUCUGGUUGUUGGGAGGAAGACGUGUUGUGACAUCGUAUGUAUUCAAGUGUGUGAGAUGUCGUCAACUCCGUGGCAGACACGAAUUCCCAAAAAUGGCAGAUCUGCCUUUCGAUAGGCUUGACCCUGCGCCUCCGUUUACAUACAUUGGUAUCGAUGUAUUUGGUCCGUGGACAGUUUCUACACGCCGUACUCGAGGGGGACAAGCUAACUCUAAAAGAUGGGCACUCUUGUUAACGUGUCUUGUGCGAGCCGUUCACAUCGAAAUACUGGAAGAGAUGACAUCAUCAUGUUUUAUUAAUGCACUUAGACGGUUUUGUGCAAUCAGAGGAGAAGUUAAGAUUAUACGUUCAGACUGUGGUACGAACUUCAUAGGAUCUGUGAAGGACUUGAAUAUUAACAUUAUAAGUGUUGAGGAUCGACCAAUCAAACAGUACUUAAAUGAAAAAGGAAUAAAUUGUAUUUUUAACACUCCCCAUUCCUCCCACAUGGGAGGAAUCUGGGAACGGAUGAUAGGUGUUGCUAGACGGAUACUCGACGCUAUCCUACUUGAUGUCAAACAAUUGACACACGAUAUGCUUGCUACAUUAUUUGCAGAAGUUUCUUCCAUCAUCAAUGCUCGACCUCUUUUGCCUAUAUCAUAUGAUCCUGAAGUUCCAUUUCCGUUAACUCCUGCAACAAUACUCACCAUGAAAACUGAUCACACUGUUCGAUCUUUUCAUCUAGAAGACUUCAGUUCCAAGGAUCUCUUCAAGAAGCAGUGGAAAGGUAUUCAGCAUCUCGCAAAUCAGUUCUGGCACCGAUGGAAAUCUGAAUUUCUACCAUCUUUACAAUCUCGAAAGAAAUGGCAACAGGACCGUAAAAACGUACAAGAAGGUGAUGUUGUUCUUAUGUGCGAUAAAUCUCUACACAGGAAUGAAUGGCCAGUGGGAAUCAUUAUUAAAACACACACAAGCGAUGACAACCGUGUGCGCAAGGUCGAUGUGCGUUUAGGAAAAGACAGGAAAAAAUUCACAAGGCCCGUGAACGAGUUGAUUGUACUACUACCAAACUAACAAUAUGUAGUUUCAAUGUACUUCUACCAAACUAACAAUAUGUAGUUUCAAUGUGCUGCUACCAAACUAACAAUGUGUAGUUUCGAUGGACAAUUUGACUUGUUGAUAUUUGUUGUUGUGUAUUAUUAUAGAACUAGAUAAAUUUUAGACUCCGUCAUUAUAAUGUGAUAUAGAUAAUAUCAGGCGAGGAGUGUCAUGUCUCAUGUUUCACAUGCAUUUAUUUUCCGGAAAGAAACCGGACUGCAUUUUUUUAUUACAAUUUUCAUAAACUUCCGUCAAGUCAUGAUAAUUUUCUCUUGGACAAUCCUUCUGAUGCCACGAUGUAAGUCACUUAUACUUACCUUUUUUAUGUAUAUAUAUAGUGUAAACACAUUCAUUUUGAUAGACUGCAAUUGUUUUUAUAAGUUUUUGACGAUGCAAACAAUUUUUGAUAACCACAUGCGAAUUUGAAUCACUGUGAGCAAAGUGUGAAUCGAUAAUAUGUUUUUAGUUGGAAUAUGGUCAGAAAUGUCACUGUGUGUAAACUUGACAGUAGAUAAAUUGCUUUUUGCGAAUAAGUUGAUACUUUGAAUAUAUGAAGUUUGUAUACUGAAUUCUUAUUUUGAAAUAUGUUUCCAUUAGAGGUACAUUACAUUUUCUAUUAUUUGAUACUAUUUUUGUUGAUUUGUCUGAAAUGUUACAUCAGCUGUUUUUAUAUCGAUUGUCUUUGUUUUAUUGUAGCUUUUCAGCAUAUAGAUGUGCAACGGAAUAAAUACUAUCUCACAGUAUUGACUUUGAUUUGUUAGUCCCUAACGAUUUAGCACAUAGGUUUAGCUGGACUGUGUCUAGGCAGUCACAAAAGUUUUUAAGGCAUAUAAAUGCAGCUUGUCCUGAAAUCACUUAAAAUUACACAUUUAUAUGGUACAUAAAUAAUCCCAAAACAAAUACAGGCAAUAAUUUCUGUAUUCUGGUAUGUCGGAGAUGAAGACAAAAGCCCCUGGAAAUAAUUCGUGAUUUAAAAUUAUUGCUAUAGAUAUUUAUCAUUAAACUCACUAAUUUGUUGAUGAGACUACAAUUUACUGUUGAUAAUUUCAGGGUUUAAAUUUCCAGUUUGCUGCAGUUUUAUUUUCAUUAGGAUUUUAUACAUAUGUUGAAUCAGGUAUGUUUAUUUUUAUCUCAUGUCUGUUAGAUGAUAUUCAGAAGUUAUAAAAGGGUAGGAAUGGUGUACUCCACAUAACAAAAAUAUAUGCUAAAAUAAUGGUAGCUACAAAAUGAGAUUUGACGAAUGACAAUGAAAUAUAAAUGUUAAUUUGACGCUUACUGUAGCAGAAACUGACCGAUCGAUGCUUGACCAUUAAGAGCAUGCCUUCCUUUAUAUAACUAUAACAUACUUUGUACUGUUAAUUACAUUUUUUUUAAACUGUACACAUAAAGAUAAUCGUAUGCAUUUUAAAUCAUUAAAAAAGUGUAAUUUUUUGUUGAAAUGGAUUAAAUGAAAUGAAAUAGAAACAAAAUAAGGGACUGAAGUAAAAAAGUAGAAACUUUUACUAUGUCAUUUAGAUUUCAUAAAAUCAUGAUUUUGGUUGUAAAUAAACAGUGGCCUUUAUGUUUUAUUGAUUGGAACCUGUGUCAUUAACUGUUCUAUUUAAAAUACAUAACAUUUUAAUAUAAAUACUUUAUCAUAAAUGUUGUAAUGAUGGUGACUUCUUUUUCAGUAUUUAGAAGUAAAUUGUCAAGAAUCUUUAAUGCAUGUAUUGGUACUAGAAAAUGCAAAGAAGAAUGUGCUCAUGAAUAUAAAUAUGUAAGUAAAGAUUAGAUAAGUCUAAAGUUGAGUAAUGUGGGUUAAAUUCUUUAAAAAAGGUACACAUUUUUGUGAGUUGAAAAAAUGCAUUUUUUUGUUGGUCUUUGAUUUUGUGGUUUUAUUCUGCAUAAAAUCCUAUAGAAAAAUUGUACUUUGUUGAAUUUAGUGGUUAAACUUUACCAAAUAAAUCAUAAAUAAACAGUGCCUCACAAAUAAUAAUGAAUCAAAAAGUAUUUUAUAGGCUGUUAUAGCUGUUCAAUGCAUCUUAAUGCUGUUCACUCCAAAUGGAAGUUAACAGUCUUAUAUCAGCUGAUAAUAAAAUGACAUUUGGUUCAUUUUAGAUGUGUAAUCUUAAAGCUUUUUAAUAUUAAGUCAUUAUACGACCGCAAAUUUUGAAAAAAUUUUCGUCGUAUAUUGCUAUCACGUUGGCGUCGGCGUCGUCGUCGUCGUCGUCGUCGUCGUCCGGCGUCCGAAUACUUUUAGUUUUCGCACUCUAACUUUAGUAAAAGUAAAUAGAAAUCUAUGAAAUUUUAACACAAGGUUUAUGACCAUAAAAGGAAGGUUGGUAUUGAUUUUGGGAGUUUUGGUCCCAACAUUUUAGGAAUUAGGGGCCAAAAAGGGCCCAAAUAAGCAUUUUCUUGGUUUUCGCACCAUUACUUUAGUUUAAGUUAAUAGAAAUCUAUGAAAUUUUGACACAAGGUUUAUGACCACAAAAGAAAGAUUGGGAUUGAUUUUGGGAGUUUUGGUUUCAAUAGUUAAGGAAUAAGGGCCAAUAAAGGGCCCAAAUAAGCAUUUUUUCUUGGUUUUUGCACAAUAACUUUAGUUUAAGUAAAUAGAAAUCUAUGAAAUUUAAACACAAUGUUUAUGACCACAAAAGGAAGGUUGGUAUUGAUUUUGGGAGUUUAGGACCCAACAGUUUAGGAAUUAGGGGCCAAAAAGGGACCCAAAUAAGCAUUUUUCUUGGUUUUCGCACCAUAACGUUAGUAUAAAGUAAAUACAAAUCUAUGAAAUUUAAACACAAGGCUUAUGACCAUAAAAGGAAGGUUGGUAUUGAUUUUGGGAGUUUUGGUCCCAACAGUUUAGGAAAAAGGGCCCAAAGGGUCCAAAAUUAAACUUUGUUUGAUUUCAUCAAAAUUGAAUAAUUGGGGUUCUUUGAUAUGCCGAAUCUAACUGUAUAUGUAGAUUCUCAACUUUUGGUCCCGUUUUCAAAUUGGGUCUACAUUAAGGUCCAAAGGGUCCAAAAUUAAACUUAGUUUGAUUUUGACAAAAAAUGAAUCAGUUGGGUUCUUGAUAUGUUGAAUGUAAAAAUGUACUUAGAUUCUUGAUUAUUGAAGUUUUUUGGUCCAGUUUUCAAAUUGGUCUACAUUAAGGUCCAAAGGGUCCAAAAUUAAACUUUGUUUGAUUUCAUCAAAAAUUGAAUCCUUGGGUCUUUGAUAUGCCAAAUCUAACUGUGUAUGUAGAUUCUUCAUUUUGGUCUGUUUUUCAAAUUUCAAAUUCUACAUUAAAGUCCAAAGGGUCCAAAAUUAAAACUAAGUUUGAUUUUAACAAAAAUUUGAAUUCUUGGCUCUUUUGAUAUGCUGAAUCUAAACAUUUACUUAGAUUUUUGAUUAUGGGCCCAGUUUUCAAGUUGGUCCAAAUCAGGAUCUUAAAUUAUUUAUUAAGUAUUGUGCAAUAGCAAGUCUUUUCAAUUGCCAGUAUUGUGCAAUGGCAAGAAAUAUCUAAUUGCACAAUAUUGUGAAAUAGCAAAUUUUUUUUUAAUUAGAGUUAUCUUUCUUUGUCCAGAAUAGUAAGCAAGAAAUAUCCUAUUGCACAAUAUUGUGCAAUAGCAAGAAUUUUUUUUAAUUGGAGUUAUUCUUUCUUUGUCCAGAAUCAACUUAAAUCUUUGUUAUAUACAAUAUACAAUGUAUAUACACUUUUUACUACCAACUGAUAAAUUUAAAUAAUCCUUACCAUUCAGUGACAACAAGCAGUUUUUUUACAUCUUAAUAUUUUAUGAUGUAUUUAAAUGAGUAGUUAUUGUUGCAAACUCCAUUAGAAAUUUGACUUGAUAUCAGUUUUGAAAAAGAAAAACGGGGAUGUGAAAAAAAAGGGGGGGGGGGGGGUUAAAUUUUUCUCAUUUCAGAUUUCAUAAAUAAAAAGAAAAUUUCUUCAAACAUUUUUUUGAGAGGAUUAAUAUUCAACAGCAUAGUGAAUUGCUCAAAGGCAAAAAAAAAUUUUAAGUUCAUUAGACCACAUUCAUUCUGUGUCAGAAACCUAUGCUGUGUCAACUAUUUAAUUUUAGAUUUAAAAAGUUUGAAGAAGAAAUCUUUAAUUGAUUUGUAAAAUCUUGGCAUUUGUUUUGUGUAAAAAAAAACCAUGUAAUGUCAAAAAUUUGAUCACAAUCCAAAUUCAGAGCUGUAUCAUGCUUGAAUGUUUUGUCCAUACUUGCCCCAACUGUUCAGGGUUCGACCUCUGCGGUCGUAUAAAGCUGCGCCCUGCGGAGCACCUGGUUUUUAAGCAUUUGAAAGAAUUUGGACUUCUGAACCUUAUUUGCUCAUAGUUAAGCUUAAAUUAUAAGUACUGUUAAUUUAGAAUGAUAGUUUUAAUUAUAAUAUUUAUUGAUUGUUUAACCUGUUCCUGUUUUUACACAAAAAACAUUACUUUAUAAAGAAAUGGUUAAUCAGUAGAGAUAUUAUAAAUAAAUCAGUGAUUUUCACAAAUUUAACAUGUUGUGCAAAAAGCAAUCUGUGAUAUUAUUGUCUUUCUGUUGAAGGCAAUAAUGAGAUGAAUAUUUCCUGUACCUGGAAAUAUAUAUUUUUUUUUAAAUGACAAAAUUUACAAACCUUUUUAAAGCAAACUAGCCCUGUUUAUGUUAAGGUAAUCAUUCAUAUUUAUUUUUGGCAUAUAAUUGGAAUGAUGGGCGCACUACGUUUGCACGCAUUUGGGGAUUAAAAUGUUUUUCGUUUGCGCGCAGCUUUUGAUUACAUUUGCGCGCAUUCAUUUUACAGGUAAUCUCAGGUAAAAAUAUAAAUAAAAAUUAAAUUAAAUUAUAAAUGACUAUAUUUUUCUUGUAUUUUCAUAACGGAUAUGACUAUUAAUUAUUAAUUUAAGAAUUAGUUUGUCAUUCAAAUUAUAUAUUAGAUAUAGGAACAUGUGGUGUGAGUGCCAAUAAGACAACUCUCCAUCAAAAUAACAAUUUUAAAUAGUAAACCAAUAUAGGUCAAUGUACGGCCUUCAACACGGAGCCUUGGCUCACACCGAACAACAAGCUAUAAAGGGCCCCAAAAUUACUAGUGUAAAACCAUUCAAACGGGAAACCCAACGGUCUAAUAUUGAUAAUAUUGAAUUCUAAAACAAGUAAAAACUCUGUUUUAGCUAAAGGUCUAGUUACAAUAAAUGGGCUAUGUCACAGAUUUUCUUAAAAUUUUGCAAACACCUUUGUCUGUUGAACUGUAUCUGAAAAUUAAAAAAAAUAUGGCGCUUUAUCUCUUUUUUCCCUCAUAAAUAAGUAUUAUUACCUGUAUUUUACCUGAGUUUACCUGUUAAAAAAAUGAGCGCAAAUGUAAUCAAAAGCUGCGCGCAAACGUAAUGAUUUUUGCGCGCAAAUGUAAUGGUUAUGCGCGCAAACGUAAUGAUUCUUGCGCGCAAAUGUAAUGGUUAUGUGCGCAAACGUAAUGCACUGGAAAUGAUGAUGGAUUAUGGUAUGGACAUAUAUUGUUAUAUAUAUAUAAUACGUUAUUAAUUUUCAGACUCAUCCAUGUGUGAUAUUAACAAAUCUGAUAUUUGGUGCUCUUUCAAUGUUUCAUCUUGCCUACUUGGGCCUCAUGUUUGAUAACAGUGCUAAUAGUGAAGAGGUAAGCUUUUAACAAAGAUAUAUAUCUGGCAUAUACAAUUUAAUCCUGCUAACUGUGAUGAGUUUAUUCAUACCUAGGCUUGUACAUUGCAUAUUUAUUAUAUUUUGAAUACCACUGUUAUAAACUUAAGAGUUUCACAAGGAAAAGGUAAAAAAAUUAAGCAUAUAAAAAAAAUAUGAAGAUUUUUAAGAAUUUUAACUAAGUUGUCACUAAAUUUUUUUUAAGGAGGUGAGAAAACCCUAAUAAGCUAUCAAGGUCAAGAUCACUGAACUGGUACACAUUUUUAUUUAGGAGCCAGCUGAGAGGCUGCAAAUAAAAAAAAAAGAUUUCAUGGUGUGAAGUAAAAUAAAAAUAUUAGCCCAAGACCAAAUAAAACAUUUUUUCCCUAUGCAUUUAGUUUGUUUUCUUUAGAGUAAUGAAGUGAUAUUGCUUCAAAAAUUAUUUAAGAUGGAAUUCGUAAAAUUUUUCAGGGUUAUGACAUGUACCAUACCUUAGAAAAGUGGUCGUCAUUGAGUUAUGCAAGUCACUGGAUUGUACUGGGAACAUACAUUUUUGCUGUAUUGAUAUGA